RNAcentral lists this non-coding RNA (179 nucleotides) under unclassified sequences. RNAcentral's name for it is "malK-I RNA". It matches the Rfam family "malK-I RNA". The record is from RNAcentral.
UCGGGCGUCCGCGCGGCUCUCCACUUCUCAGCCGGGCGGCAUCAAAAAAAGGAGGAAGAAACACCCCCGGCUCGGGGUGCGGCAGUGUGGAGACCUGUCGUAAUGCGGCGCGUCCCUUUGCGGAGGCCCGCGAGGACAUACCAGGCGGAGGCCGUAUGUCCGGAGCCGAAAGAAUGGCA